UACAGAGGGUGCAAGCGUUAAUCGGAAUUACUGGGCGUAAAGCGUGCGUAGACGGUUAUGUAAGUCGGGUGUGAAAGCCCCGGGCUCGACCUGGGAAUUGCAUUCGAGACUGCAUAGCUAGGGUGCGGAAGAGGGAAGCGGAAUUUCCGGUGUAGCGGUGAAAUGCGUAGAUAUCGGAAGGAACACCAGUGGCGAAAGCGGCUUCCUGGUCCAGCACCGACGUUCAGGCACGAAAGCGUGGGGAGCAAACAGG
RNAcentral lists this ribosomal RNA (253 nucleotides) under uncultured bacterium. RNAcentral's name for it is "partial 16S ribosomal RNA". It matches the Rfam family "Bacterial small subunit ribosomal RNA", at positions 524 to 776 of the family's 1533-position model. The record is from RNAcentral.